Lophiostoma macrostomum CBS 122681 is the source of this 81-nucleotide non-coding RNA. Lineage: Eukaryota; Fungi; Ascomycota; Dothideomycetes; Pleosporales; Lophiostomataceae. The record is from the annotation of a GenBank genome assembly.
GGUCAGGUGGCCGAGUGGUUAUGGCGCUAGUUUCAGGUACUAGUAUCGAAAGAUGCGUGGGUUCGAGUCCCACCCUGAUCA